RNAcentral lists this ribosomal RNA (253 nucleotides) under uncultured bacterium. Its description in RNAcentral is "partial 16S ribosomal RNA". It matches the Rfam family "Bacterial small subunit ribosomal RNA", at positions 524 to 776 of the family's 1533-position model. The record is from RNAcentral.
UACGUAGGGUGCGAGCGUUGCCCGGAUUUAUUGGGCGUAAAGGGCGCGUAGGCGGCUCUGCACGUCCGUUGUGAAAUCGCCCGGCUCAACUGGGCGGGGUCAGCGGAUACGGCGGAGCUCGAGCAAGCUAGGGGGCAAUGGAAUUCCCGGUGUAGUGGUGGAAUGCGUAGAUAUCGUGAGGAACACCAGAGGCGAAGGCGGUUACCUGGACAGUUACUGACGCUCAGGCACGAAAGCAUGGGGAGCAAAAGGG